RNAcentral lists this long non-coding RNA (1808 nucleotides) under Physcomitrium patens. RNAcentral describes it as "long non-coding RNA (PPAT_LNC009270)". Lineage: Eukaryota; Viridiplantae; Streptophyta; Bryopsida; Funariales; Funariaceae. The record is from RNAcentral.
UCUCCCCCUGCACGACUUCACCCUUUGGACCAGCACCAUUUCGGGUUCCUCGUCUUGCCCGAUCUCUCCAUUAUUUAUCUCGCUACGUGCGCAUUCCUUCUACAUUGUUUCGAAGCAGAGUUUGGGAGCUUGUUGCGCGUCGUCUUUCCCAGAUUGCUCUGUUGUUUCCUCGGACGGGCUCGGGAUCGAAUUUCGCAAUUCGUUGGCCUUGCGCGUUGUUUCGUUUUGGGUUUUCUGGAUUUGUGGUUUUGUUUCUUUUUGGGAUUGCGUUUUUGGGUGGAGUGGACGAGUUUUGAAGUCGCAGCGGUUUUGUUGGUGGUGAGAGGAUCCUUCUCGAGUCGUAGGUGCUGGUUUUUUUGUGGGCGAGUGCUGUGGGUUUGAAUUGGAAAUUUUAGGUGGGGCCGUUGUAGUGUGGGUUCUGUAGUUUCAGUCUCUGGAGAUCCGGGUCGAGCUGUUUUGAUUGCGGGAGGCUAAUUACCCAAGGUCGACAAGAUGGGUUUGGAUGAGGUAAAUCAUACUUAGUGGUGUGUUUAGGCUAAUCCUCCGACUGAGUCGUGUUUCACAAGUCUGUGAAUGACUACAGAGGAUCUGGCCCAGACAUGCCGUCUGCUUGGGAAGCAGCUUCAAGGAUAUAUAAUUUUGGGAGUAGAUUUUUCUUAUGAGUUGAAAUCAUUGUUACAACUAUUUAUGUUAUUUUUAUGGUUAUGGAAGUUUCUUUCUCCAUCCAUCCUUACCAAGCUUGGAAUUGGUUCAUAUUACAGACGUUUAAUUAUAGGAAAUCGUCACAAGUAGUAUCAACUCACGACAUGGCGGUGCCAUCAUAUCAGGUAAUCCAGGUUUUCAUGUGCGUUCCUUGCAAUGUAAUGGUUAGUAGUCACAUGCCGUAAAGGUGGUUUAGUCUCCAAAGCGUGUUUCGUGAAGUCCUUGUUGCAGCGGUUGAUCGCAUCACCUUAUUAGCGACAGUACUACCUGCACGUGCUUUGAAUGAAGCGGUUUCGUUUUCUCAUUCCGCGUUUGGCCAUCGCAGCUCGACAUGAUAAUCAGAGCAAAUGUCCAGAACAUAGGAGGGAAAACCUCGAAGUUGGUUUCUUACAUGCGGGGUAAACUAGGUACGUCGUACUUCCUCAUUCCCCAAAACUAAGCAUGUCAGAGUCGUUUUUACCCACUCUGAACAUCCUUUGUCCGAGUCGGUACCACGGAAUCCUGCUUGAACAUUCCUCUCCUGUGACCUGUAUAUUCUUUUUGCGAUCAUUGCCUGCACAGAAAAUCGAUCUUGUGGGCUCCCGAACUUUUUCACGAUGCCCUUCUUUGACUGCUAAUGACAUGUGUUUUUUCAUUGAUCUGACGUGCAGGAUACGACAAAUGCAUAGUUGACCAAGAGAAUGACACCAUCAGCAUCCACUCUAUCAAUGGCCUCGAUCCUGGUCGCAUUCUGAAGUACAUUCGCAGAAAUGUUGACCCUCAUGCUUCGGAGAUUGUGCAGACUUGAGGGAAUGGAUGAAACCUGGUAGUCAGAUCGUGUAUAUAUGUGUACAGAAAUACCUCACGAGGAAACGUACGAGGAAACCAUCUCAAGAAUUGGGUGGAGUUGUAGAUAAGCGGUUCUGUUCAACUGCGGAGUGGGGUUGUAGAUAGUGCAUUAUCAAAUAACCUCUGGGAUUUUUGAUGUAGCAAAUUCAUGGCCUGGAAUCAUUUUCUAUGGCACCAUUAGUGUAUGUGCAUUCAUCACAUUUGAUAUUGACUGCUGUGAACAAAGAUUGAUUUGAAAGAUUUGUGAUGGCGUUGCCUCAAGUGCGAGUUUCUGUGAA